This 90-nucleotide transfer RNA is filed under the name Bacteroidales bacterium. RNAcentral describes it as "tRNA-Ser". It matches the Rfam family "tRNA". From Rfam's summary of the family: Transfer RNA (tRNA) molecules are approximately 80 nucleotides in length. Lineage: Bacteria; Pseudomonadati; Bacteroidota; Bacteroidia; Bacteroidales. The record is from RNAcentral.
GGAGAGGUGGCCGAGUGGUUUAAGGCGCACGCCUGGAAAGUGUGAGUUCCGUGUGGAGCGGGACCGAGGGUUCGAAUCCCUCUCUCUCCG